Molecule: long non-coding RNA, 2190 nt
Organism: Pseudoliparis swirei
Lineage: Eukaryota; Metazoa; Chordata; Actinopteri; Perciformes; Liparidae
Exons: 16
Source: RefSeq, a predicted model, not a curated record
CACCCUCCGCCAGUCCUCACUCUUCUGCUUCGCACCAGGCCUUUCGAUAGAAUCGCUGCAAAAUGGAGGUCGAUUUGACUUGGUUGAAGACAUCGUCUACACGUCAUGAAAGUCUUAACGUACGAUGCAGGUGUCUUGCAAGCUGAGAGCAUCCAUGAAAAAACUUGGAGCAAAUGAGGUGUGCCUACUUUAAUGGUUUGAGCUGAAGAUUUCACCAAUGAUGGGUCAUUGGAGCAGGUGGUCCUUCAUCUUUGGCUCAUGUCUCCAUUUACUUGGCAUCACUUGAUGGAAUAAUAUGACUUUCAGUCUAAAAGGCCAAGUGAAGGUGAGUUUAAAGUACAAGGAUCCUUAAUAAGCACUUUUCAGUGCCAUUUUGAAGUGUCAAAAUGGCUGCUUUGAAAAAGGCCUAUACUGCUUGAUACAAUGAUGAUAGCAUAGUUCAGCAGAUUAAACCAUGAAGAUUAUAAGCCCUGUCUUGCGCUCCUAUCUGAUGUAUCAACUGCAUUAUCAUACCUGUUGAGAUUGCAGUGAGACGCGGAGAAAAGUGUGAAGUGGUGCUCAUCGCAAUAAAACAUCUUUGAUGGGGCGUGUCGCGGCUCGGCCAAUCAGCGUUCAGAUGUCUUCAGCGUUUGGUGGUUUAGGUUAGCUUGAAUGUUAGCCCGCUAACGCUGCACGGUGUAGCGAUGCUAACAAAGUACCCGUACGUUAAACACGAUGUGAUUUAGCAUAUUUUUAGUAUCGAUACUUAAUUAAAAGAGCGAUCAGAGCGCACGCGCUGCUCCGUGUCGAGCUGUCUGCGCACACUGCGCUGCGCACACUGCGCUGCGCAGCGCUCACAGCGAGAGAAGUGGUGCAGCUUUAGAGACCGACUUCGGCUUAAAGAAUAAAAAGAUGCCAGAAGUGAAAUGUUUCAAUCUGUAAAGUUGUGUAACUCUCCAGCUGCUCAUCCUGAUGAACUGUGUAUCAUCUGGUCAGAGACUAACGGCCUCAUAAUGUAUAAUCAAUGCUCUGAUUGAACCAUGUAGUUUCAUUCAUAUCUGGCUGUAUUAAUACUAAUAUUACUGCCAUUUGUUAGGUGUUGAACAAGUUUUGGUAAAAAGUGAUCCAUGCAGAUGUUUUAUUUAUUACUAUUAUAGAUAAAUAUACCAGUCUCGUAUUUAUGGUACCAUAUUGUAUUGAAUUCUGGUAUCGGGUAUCAUGAUAUUUAUGGCAGGUAUGUAAUAUGUAUAGAAGUUAUAUGAGUAUCGUGACAAACGGGUAGAGACGGAACAGAUUCAGGGAAAAGUCCAUGAGGACUGUUCAGGCAAAAAAAAGGAAGUUGGUUCAUGAAUGACUUUAACCAUAUUAUAUAUAAUGACAAUGUAUAUUUGUUAUUACUAUCAUUACAGGGCUGAGUCAGAGCGGAGGACCUUUUGUUCUUAAACUGUUUAUUAUCAUUAUUUAGAUUUGUGGUCAGAACAAUAAAAUGACUAGUUGUGGUUCUAAAAGCUUUGAGGCUUCAGACAAUGUGGAUGUGGUGACAACAACAACAAGUCAACUACACCCCCCCCCUCACCUUUUUCACCCCUCAUGAGUUUGCAGGUAUGAUCAUAACUAACUAUAGUACAUGAGUAUUUAUGAAAAUAGGGACGGUUUGAGUUUAUUCACAUGCAAUUUCUAUAUCUAAAGUGCAUUUUUCCUUCAGGUUGAAGACGUCUACUAAUGGUGAACGUCUUAACAUACUAUGCUGGUGUCUUGCAAGCUGAGAGCAUCCAUGAAGUAACUUGAAGCAAAUGAGGUGUGCCUACUUUAAUGGUUUGAGCUGAAGAUUUCACCAAUGAUGGGUCAUUGGAGCAGGUGGUCCUUCAUCUUUGGCUCAUGUCUCCAUUUACUUGGCAUCACUUGAUGGAAUAAUAUGACUUUCAGUCUAAAAGACCAAGUGAAGACGCGUAAAACAUUCCUGCUGGAACAUUCCAUCCCUGUGUUGGUGAAAACUAGAUUGUGAAAAUCAAGAGGACAAGAUGUCACACAGGCACGGUUGUGAUCGUUGACUUUGGAGGACAGUUUGCAUGAACACGGUCAGCUGAGGAAACUGCUGGAUCUGUCAGACUGACUAUGAAGCCAUGAAGUCCUUGCUGAGGCCCAGUGGAUAUCAAGAACAUGUCUAUGUUGGGCUAACAUUGUGGAAAUAAAAUAUCAAAAGAAAAGCUU